This 1197-nucleotide ribosomal RNA is filed under the name Cellulosimicrobium sp. RNAcentral describes it as "bacterial SSU rRNA". It matches the Rfam family "Bacterial small subunit ribosomal RNA", at positions 46 to 1250 of the family's 1533-position model. Lineage: Bacteria; Bacillati; Actinomycetota; Actinomycetes; Micrococcales; Promicromonosporaceae. The record is from RNAcentral.
GCCUACCAUGCAAGUCCAACGAUGUUGCCCAGCUUGCUGGGUGGAUUAGUGGCGAACGGGUGAGUAACACGUGAGUAACCUGCCCUUGACUUCGCGAUAACUCCGGGAAUCCGGGCUGCAAAUACCGGAUAUGAGCCGUCCUCGCAUGGGGGUGGUUGGAAAGUUUUUCGGUCAGGGAUGGGCUCGCGGCCUAUCAGCUUGUUGGUGGGGUGAUGGCCUACCAAGGCGACGACGGGUAGCCGGCCUGAGAGGGCGACCGGCCACACUGGGACUGAGACACGGCCCAGACUCCUACGGGAGGCAGCAGUGGGGAAUAUUGCACAAUGUGGCGCAAGCCUGAUGCAGCGACGCCGCGUGAGGGAUGAAGGCCUUCGGGUUGUAAACCUCUUUCAGCAGGGAAGAAGCGCAAGUGACGGUACCUGCAGAAGAAGCGCCGGCUAACUACGUGCCAGCAGCCGGGGUAAUAAGUAGGGCGCAAGCGUUGUCCGGAAUUAUUGGGCGUAAAGAGCUCGUAGGCGGUCUGUCGCGUCUGGUGUGAAAACUCGAGGCUCAACCUCGAGCUUGCAUCGGGUACGGGCAGACUAGAGUGCGGUAGGGCGAGAGACUGGAAUUCCUGGUGUAGCGGUGGAAUGCGCAGAUAUCAGGAGGAACACCGAUGGCGAAGGCAGGUCUCUGGGCCGCAACUGACGCUGAGGAGCGAAAGCAUGGGGAGCGAACAGGAUUAGAUACCUUGGUAGUCCAUGCCGUAAACGUUGGGCACUAGGUGUGGGGCUCAUUCCACGAGUUCCGUGCCGCAGCAAACGCAUUAAGUGCCCCGCCCUGGGGAGUACGGCCGCAAGGCUAAAACUCAAAGGAAUUGACGGGGGCCCGCACAGGCGGCGGAGCAUGCGGAUUAAUUCGAUGCAACGCGAAGAACCUUACCAAGGCUUGACAUGCACGGGAAGCCACCAGAGAUGGUGGUCUCUUUGGACACUCGUGCACAGGUGGUGCAUGGUUGUCGUCAGCUCGUGUCGUGAGAUGUUGGGUUAAGUCCCGCAACGAGCGCAACCCUCGUCCCAUGUUGCCAGCGGGUUAUGCCGGGGACUCAUGGGAGACUGCCGGGGUUCAACUCGGAGGAAGGUGGGGAUGACGUCAAAUCAUCAUGCCCCUUAUGUCUUGGGCUUCACGCAUGCUACAAUGGCCGGUACAAAGGGCUGC